This is a long non-coding RNA of Gallus gallus (chicken), 696 nucleotides long. The record is from Ensembl. NCBI's taxonomy places the organism in Eukaryota, Metazoa, Chordata, Aves, Galliformes, Phasianidae.
UGAAGACCCUGUAUUUUCUCUCUUUUUUUUUUUUUUCUCCCUCUCAUUCCCAGACUUAUUUUGAGACUGAUCCAUCCUACAAUGCCAAUGUAACUUGCAGGUGUUUCCUGUCACUAUUUCUGACCACAAUGGCUGAAGACCACCUUAUCAAGGAUGGAGCAGUGAAACACUGGAGCACCUCCAUCCCAGUUUGGGGCAGUGCUGGACCUAAAACAAAAAUAGAAUGGAAGAACAGUCCCAGUGGAGAGAAGUAAAUGAGAGAGGCAGAGGGGUGAAGAGAAGAAAGGAGUAAAGGAAGAAUCACAUCGGGUGACUGAUCCUCCAAGGGGCGAGCUGGAGAAAUGUGCUCCUCAGGGACCUCUGGCAGGAGGAUAUCUUCAGUUCUGCAGAAGUAAUUCCAGAGCACGAGACCAUCAGAAUGAACAGGUCCUGCGAUGUGAUCCAUCCAGAAUACAUAACACUCCCUGUGUCCAAGAGGAAAGUGCAACCAAAAACCACCCGGAGACAUAAAUAUCGUGGCUGCAGCUCAUUUAACUAGCAAGUGCACUAUCAAUGUCACUUCUGAGCUGGUGGCUUCCAGCUAGAGCUCCCUGAACACUGCGGUUCCUAUUCUUUCCAACACGGAGAAAUUCCAGGAAGAACUCGGCAAUUUCUGAAGCAGGACCCUGGCAUUCUGGAAUUUCUCAUCUAAUGAAG